GCAACACGAGCCUGAACGGCUUGAUUCCGUUUGUGAAUCAAUUGGCUUCGUUGUUGCGAUGUUGUGUUUGCAAACUCGUAUUUCGAGUUAGGUAGAUUUCUACCAUAUGUUUUGUCCACACUC
RNAcentral lists this unclassified non-coding RNA (123 nucleotides) under Vibrio campbellii ATCC BAA-1116. Its description in RNAcentral is "GcvB RNA". It matches the Rfam family "GcvB RNA", at positions 1 to 147 of the family's 204-position model. Rfam says of the family: The gcvB gene encodes a small untranslated RNA involved in expression of the dipeptide and oligopeptide transport systems in Escherichia coli. Lineage: Bacteria; Pseudomonadati; Pseudomonadota; Gammaproteobacteria; Vibrionales; Vibrionaceae. The record is from RNAcentral.